GUGUUGAAGGCCCUGCAAAGCAGCAUCGCGGUGGCGGAGCGUCGUUUGCGACGCCCAACACACAAAACAAGCGGUGAGUGCUUUGGGGUGGGGUGACUGCGUACCUUUUGUAUAAUGGGUCAGCGACUUAUAUUCUGUAGCAAGGUUAACCGUAUAGGGGAGCCGAAGGGAAACCGAGUCUUAACUGGGCGUUAAGUUGCAGGGUAUAGACCCGAAACCCGGUGAUCUAGCCAUGGGCAGGUUGAAGGUUGGGUAACACUAACUGGAGGACCGAACCGACUAAUGUUGAAAAAUUAGCGGAUGACCUGUGGCUGGGGGUGAAAGGCCAAUCAAACCGGGAGAUAGCUGGUUCUCCCCGAAAGCUAUUUAGGUAGCGCCUCGUGAACUCAUCUUCGGGGGUAGAGCACUGUUUCGGCUAGGGGGUCAUCCCGACUUACCAACCCGAUGCAAACUGCGAAUACCGAAGAAUGUUAUCACGGGAGACACACGGCGGGUGCUAACGUCCGUCGUGAAGAGGGAAACAACCCAGACCGCCAGCUAAGGUCCCAAAGUCACAGUUAAGUGGGAAACGAUGUGGGAAGGCUCAGACAGCCAGGAUGUUGGCUUAGAAGCAGCCAUCAUUUAAAGAAAGCGUAAUAGCUCACUGGUCGAGUCGGCCUGCGCGGAAGAUGUAACGGGGCUAAACUGUGCACCGAAGCUGCGGCAGCGACGCUUAUGCGUUGUUGGGUAGGGGAGCGUUCUGUAAGCCUGCGAAGGUGUCCUGUGAGGGAUGCUGGAGGUAUCAGAAGUGCGAAUGCUGACAUAAGUAACGAUAA
This 815-nucleotide ribosomal RNA is filed under the name Salmonella enterica subsp. enterica serovar Kentucky. RNAcentral's name for it is "partial 23S ribosomal RNA". It matches the Rfam family "Bacterial large subunit ribosomal RNA", at positions 566 to 1315 of the family's 2925-position model. Lineage: Bacteria; Pseudomonadati; Pseudomonadota; Gammaproteobacteria; Enterobacterales; Enterobacteriaceae. The record is from RNAcentral.